This 68-nucleotide transfer RNA is filed under the name Amitermes sp. QLD_059. RNAcentral's name for it is "tRNA-Ala". Lineage: Eukaryota; Metazoa; Arthropoda; Insecta; Blattodea; Termitidae. The record is from RNAcentral.
GGGACUAUAGUUAAUAAUAACAUUUGAGUUGCAUUCAAAAAGUACUACACCUCAAGUAGUUAGCCUCA